Molecule: ribosomal RNA, 1025 nt
Filed under: uncultured Gammaproteobacteria bacterium
Lineage: Bacteria; Pseudomonadati; Pseudomonadota; Gammaproteobacteria
Description: bacterial SSU rRNA
Rfam family: Bacterial small subunit ribosomal RNA
Source: RNAcentral
UGCAAGUCGAGCGGAUGAUAGGAGCUUGCUCCUGGAUUCAGCGGCGGACGGGUGAGUAAUGCCUAGGAAUCUGCCUGGUAGUGGGGGACAACGUUUCGAAAGGAACGCUAAUACCGCAUACGUCCUACGGGAGAAAGCAGGGGACCUUAGGGCCUUGCGCUAUCAGAUGAGCCUAGGUCGGAUUAGCUAGUUGGUGAGGUAAUGGCUCACCAAGGCGACGAUCCGUAACUGGUCUGAGAGGAUGAUCAGUCACACUGGAACUGAGACACGGUCCAGACUCCUACGGGAGGCAGCAGUGGGGAAUAUUGGACAAUGGGCGAAAGCCUGAUCCAGCCAUGCCGCGUGUGUGAAGAAGGUCUUCGGAUUGUAAGGCACUUUAAGUUGGGAGGAAGGGUUGUAGAUUAAUACUCUGCAAUUUUGACGUUACCGACAGAAUAAGCACCGGCUAACUCUGUGCCAGCAGCCGCGGUAAUACAGAGGGUGCAAGCGUUAAUCGGAAUUACUGGGCGUAAAGCGCGCGUAGGUGGUUUGUUAAGUUGGAUGUGAAAUCCCCGGGCUCAACCUGGGAACUGCAUCCAAAACUGGCAAGCUAGAGUAUGGUAGAGGGUGGUGGAAUUUCCUGUGUAGCGGUGAAAUGCGUAGAUAUAGGAAGGAACACCAGUGGCGAAGGCGACCACCUGGACUGAUACUGACACUGAGGUGCGAAAGCGUGGGGAGCAAACAGGAUUAGAUACCCUGGUAGUCCACGCCGUAAACGAUGUCAACUAGCCGUUGGGAGCCUUGAGCUCUUAGUGGCGCAGCUAACGCAUUAAGUUGACCGCCUGGGGAGUACGGCCGCAAGGUUAAAACUCAAAUGAAUUGACGGGGGCCCGCACAAGCGGUGGAGCAUGUGGUUUAAUUCGAGGCAACGCGAAGAACCUUACCAGGCCCUUGACAUCCAAUGAACUUUCCAGAGAUGGAUUGGUGCCCUUCGGGAACAUUGAGACAGGUGCUGCAUGGCUGUCGUCAGCUCGGGUCGGGAGAUG